This is a ribosomal RNA of 731 nucleotides. The stretch from base 260 to 415 matches the Rfam family "5.8S ribosomal RNA".
GGAUCAUUGUCGAAAUCGAACGGAAGAACGACCCGCGAAUCGUCAUUGCGUAGUAGACAGAGCCCGUGAGCACCUAACGCUCAUGGGUCUCGCGUCGCGUCGGCGCGGGUGUACUCGAGACCCGCGUCGUACCGGCGGACAAACAACGUCAGCACGGAUCGUGCCAAGGAGCUGCAUGGAGAGAAUCGUCGUCCCACGCCUUUGAUAGUCCUCGACGCGGGACGGGGGACGUACGCAAUCUCUACUGAAAAGUCUAAACGACUCUCGGCAACGGAUAUCUCGGCUCUUGCAUCGAUGAAGAACGUAGCGAAAUGCGAUACUUGGUGUGAAUUGCAGAAUCCCGUGAACCAUCAAUUCUUUGAACGCAAGUUGCGCCCGAAGCCAUUCGGCCGAGGGCACGCCUGCCUGGGCGUCGUGAAUCCCCUUGCCCCUAGGCACCCGCAUGAGCAUUGGCGGGGACAUAUGCUCGGGCGCAGAAUAUGGUCUCCCGUGGGAUCGGCAUGCACGGCAUGUCGAGGUGCGGUUGGCCGAAAAUCGAGCAUGGCGGUGACGGGCACCACGGCGUUCGGUGGAUCGAAUGAGAUUGGCUGCGUCGUGGGCUCGGCAUGCGGCGGGCUCCGGACUUUGAAUAUCCCCGAGUGCGAUCCCAGGUCAGGCGGGGCUACCCGCUGAGUUUAAGCAUAUCAAUAAGCGGAGGAAAAGAAACUAACGAGGAUUCCCUUAGUAGCGGC